Long non-coding RNA from Anolis carolinensis (green anole), 630 nucleotides. RefSeq lists it as uncharacterized. The transcript has 3 exons. The record is from RefSeq and is a predicted model, not a curated record. Lineage: Eukaryota; Metazoa; Chordata; Lepidosauria; Squamata; Anolidae.
UGAAAUGGAGGCCUCUGGAACUCAGAUCUCCCUCUUUCCCCUUUUCACUAAAGAGCUCUAUUUCAGAUUUGGUAAACUGCCUUGCCUUUGGAGAUAAAAAGAAGGAAGGGGGAAUCUUUCCUCCUCCUUCCUACUUUCUCCAAGGCAAGGCAUUUUUAAACAAACAGAAAGGGAGCUGCUUAUUUGAGGUUGGUUCAUACAUUGUCCUCUCCUAACUUAGAGAUAAGGCAGUUAACAACCCAGAAACUGAAGAAUCAAAGGAAUAUUUUCCAGCUUUACCAUCAGACAGCAUCAGUGAUGAAGCAGAACAGCAAGAAAUAGAACGGCGCUUGUCCUCAAGGAAUGUGCAGAAACAGAAGAAGGAUGAUUCAAACUGGAACAAUGGACCUGAUUAUAUAAAAACUGUUGCGCAGAGCACAUGCUCUCUUACGCUUGUAAUUUUGGAGAAGGAGCUCACAAGCAUCACAUCUUGCCCAAGAUGAAAUAAAAUGCCUCUGUCCUAUGUUUUCGCUUCACUGGUGAGCUUUUUUUUUAAUCUGGAACUUUGCUUAUUAAUUAUGGUUGGCAUAAAUGUUCACCAGGCCAUUCCCUCUCAAUUUGUUGCAGUCUAAAUUUCAUAUCAGUAUUAUU